CCUACGGGUGGCAGCAGUGAGGAAUAUUGGUCAAUGGACGCGAGUCUGAACCCACGUAGCGUGAAGGAUGACUGCCCUAUGGGUUGUAUACUUCUUUUUUAAAGGAAUAAAACGAGGUACGUGUGCCUUUUUGCUAGUACUUUACUAACAAGGAUCCGCUAACUGCGUGCCAGCAGCCGCGGUAAUACGGAGGCUCCGAGCGUUAUCCGGAUUUAUUGGGUGUAAAGGGAGCGUAGAUGGGUUGUUAAGUCAGUUGUGAAAGUUCGCGGCUCAACCGUAAAUUUGCAAUUGAUACUGGGAGUCUUGAGUACAGGUGAGGUAAGCGGAAUUCGGGGUGUAGCGGUGAAAUGCGUAGAUAUAAGGAAGAACCCCAAUGGCGAAGGCAGCUUACUAAACUGUGACUGACAUUGAUGCUCGAAAGUGUGGGUAUCAAACAGGAUUAGAUACCCGGGUAGUC
Molecule: ribosomal RNA, 457 nt
Filed under: uncultured bacterium
Lineage: Bacteria
Description: partial 16S ribosomal RNA
Rfam family: Bacterial small subunit ribosomal RNA
Source: RNAcentral